GGGGUGUGUGUACGGGGAUGGAGGGAGGGAUCAGUAUGGGGUUAGAUAGUGGGGUGUGUGUACGGGGAUGGAGGGAGGUGUCAGUAUGGGAUUGGAUAGUGGGGUGUGUCUAUGGGGAUGAAGGGAGGGGUCAGUAUGGGGUUGGAUAGUGGGGUGUGUGUAUGGGGAUGGAGGGAGGGGUCAGUAUGGGGUUGGAUAGUGGGGUGUGUGUACGGGGAUGGAGGGAGGUGUCAGUAUGGGGUUGGAUAGUGGG
Molecule: long non-coding RNA, 253 nt
Organism: Gopherus flavomarginatus (Mexican gopher tortoise)
Lineage: Eukaryota; Metazoa; Chordata; Testudines; Testudinidae
Exons: 3
Source: RefSeq, a predicted model, not a curated record